UACGGAGGAUGCAAGCGUUAUCCGGAUUCAUUGGGUUUAAAGGGUGCGUAGGCGGAAUAAUAAGUCAGUGGUGAAAGCCUGCGGCUUAACCGUAGAAUUGCCAUUGAUACUGUUAUUCUUGAGUAUAGUUGAGGUGGGCGGAAUGUGUAAUGUAGCGGUGAAAUGCUUAGAUAUUACACAGAACACCAAUUGCGAAGGCAGCUCACUAAGCUGUUACUGACGCUGAGGCACGAAAGCGUCGGGAGCAAACAGG
This 253-nucleotide ribosomal RNA is filed under the name uncultured bacterium. Its description in RNAcentral is "partial 16S ribosomal RNA". It matches the Rfam family "Bacterial small subunit ribosomal RNA", at positions 524 to 776 of the family's 1533-position model. The record is from RNAcentral.